AGUCGAGCGGUAGCACAGAGAGCUUGCUCUCGGGUGACGAGCGGCGGACGGGUGAGUAAUGUCUGGGAAACUGCCUGAUGGAGGGGGAUAACUACUGGAAACGGUAGCUAAUACCGCAUAACGUCGCAAGACCAAAGUGGGGGACCUUCGGGCCUCAUGCCAUCAGAUGUGCCCAGAUGGGAUUAGCUGGUAGGUGGGGUAACGGCUCACCUAGGCGACGAUCCCUAGCUGGUCUGAGAGGAUGACCAGCCACACUGGAACUGAGACACGGUCCAGACUCCUACGGGAGGCAGCAGUGGGGAAUAUUGCACAAUGGGCGCAAGCCUGAUGCAGCCAUGCCGCGUGUGUGAAGAAGGCCUUCGGGUUGUAAAGCACUUUCAGCGGGGAGGAAGGCGGUGAGGUUAAUAACCUCAUCGAUUGACGUUACCCGCAGAAGAAGCACCGGCUAACUCCGUGCCAGCAGCCGCGGUAAUACGGAGGGUGCAAGCGUUAAUCGGAAUUACUGGGCGUAAAGCGCACGCAGGCGGUCUGUCAAGUCGGAUGUGAAAUCCCCGGGCUCAACCUGGGAACUGCAUUCGAAACUGGCAGGCUAGAGUCUUGUAGAGGGGGGUAGAAUUCCAGGUGUAGCGGUGAAAUGCGUAGAGAUCUGGAGGAAUACCGGUGGCGAAGGCGGCCCCCUGGACAAAGACUGACGCUCAGGUGCGAAAGCGUGGGGAGCAAACAGGAUUAGAUACCCUGGUAGUCCACGCUGUAAACGAUGUCGAUUUGGAGGUUGUGCCCUUGAGGCGUGGCUUCCGGAGCUAACGCGUUAAAUCGACCGCCUGGGGGAGUACGGCCGCAAGGUUAAAACUCAAAUGAAUUGACGGGGGCCCGCACAAGCGGUGGAGCAUGUGGUUUAAUUCGAUGCAACGCGAAGAACCUUACCUGGUCUUGACAUCCACAGAACUUUCCAGAGAUGGAUUGGUGCCUUCGGGAACUGUGAGACAGGUGCUGCAUGGCUGUCGUCAGCUCGUGUUGUGAAAUGUUGGGUUAAGUCCCGCAACGAGCGCAACCCUUAUCCUUUGUUGCCAGCGGUUAGGCCGGGAACUCAAAGGAGACUGCCAGUGAUAAACUGGAGGAAGGUGGGGAUGACGUCAAGUCAUCAUGGCCCUUACGACCAGGGCUACACACGUGCUACAAUGGCAUAUACAAAGAGAAGCGACCUCGCGAGAGCAAGCGGACCUCAUAAAGUAUGUCGUAGUCCGGAUUGGAGUCUGCAACUCGACUCCAUGAAGUCGGAAUCGCUAGUAAUCGUAGAUCAGAAUGCUACGGUGAAUACGUUCCCGGGCCUUGUACACACCGCCCGUCACACCAUGGGAGUGGGUUGCAAAAGAAGUAGGUAGCUUAACCUUCGGGAGGGCGC
Molecule: ribosomal RNA, 1402 nt
Filed under: uncultured Klebsiella sp.
Lineage: Bacteria; Pseudomonadati; Pseudomonadota; Gammaproteobacteria; Enterobacterales; Enterobacteriaceae
Description: 16S ribosomal RNA
Rfam family: Bacterial small subunit ribosomal RNA
Source: RNAcentral